CUUCGGGGUGUGACUGCGUACCUUUUGUAUAAUGGGUCAGCGACUUAUAUUCUGUAGCAAGGUUAACCGUAUAGGGGAGCCGUAGGGAAACCGAGUCUUAACCGGGCGUUAAGUUGCAGGGUAUAGACCCGAAACCCGGUGAUCUAGCCAUGGGCAGGUUGAAGGUUGGGUAACACUAACUGGAGGACCGAACCGACUAAUGUUGAAAAAUUAGCGGAUGACCUGUGGCUGGGGGUGAAAGGCCAAUCAAACCGGGAGAUAGCUGGUUCUCCCCGAAAGCUAUUUAGGUAGCGCCUCGUGAAUUCAUCUCCGGGGGUAGAGCACUGUUUCGGCUAGGGGGCCAUCCCGGCUUACCAACCCGAUGCAAACUGCGAAUACCGGAGAAUGUUAUCACGGGAGACACACGGCGGGUGCUAACGUCCGUCGUGAAGAGGGAAACAACCCAGACCGCCAGCUAAGGUCCCAAAGUCAUGGUUAAGUGGGAAACGAUGUGGGAAGGCCCAGACAGCCAGGAUGUUGGCUUAGAAGCAGCCAUCAUUUAAAGAAAGCGUAAUAGCUCACUGGUCGAGUCGGCCUGCGCGGAAGAUGUAACGGGGCUAAACCAUGCACCGAAGCUGCGGCAGCGACACUGUGUGUUGUUGGGUAGGGGAGCGUUCUGUAAGCCUGUGAAGGUGGCCUGUGAGGGUUGCUGGAGGUAUCAGAAGUGCGAAUGCUGACAUAAGUAACGAUAAAGCGGGUGAAAAGCCCGCUCGCCGGAAGACCAAGGGUUCCUGUCCAACGUUAAUCGGGGCAGGGUGAGUCGACCCCUAAGGCGAGGCCGAAAGGCGUAGUCGAUGGGAAACGGGUUAAUAUUCCCGUACUUGGUGUUACUGCGAAGGGGGGACGGAGAAGGCUAUGUUGGCCGGGCGACGGUUGUCCCGGUUUAAGCGUGUAGGUGUGUGUUCCAGGUAAAUCCGGUUCACUUUAACACUGAGGCGUGACGACGAGGCACUACGGUGCUGAAGCAACAAAUGCCCUGCUUCCAGGAAAAGCCUCUAAGCAUCAGGUAACAUCAAAUCGUACCCCAAACCGACACAGGUGGUCAGGUAGAGAAUACCAAGGCGCUUGAGAGAACUCGGGUGAAGGAACUAGGCAAAAUGGUGCCGUAACU
This 1150-nucleotide ribosomal RNA is filed under the name Salmonella enterica subsp. enterica serovar Virchow. RNAcentral describes it as "partial 23S ribosomal RNA". It matches the Rfam family "Bacterial large subunit ribosomal RNA", at positions 583 to 1735 of the family's 2925-position model. Lineage: Bacteria; Pseudomonadati; Pseudomonadota; Gammaproteobacteria; Enterobacterales; Enterobacteriaceae. The record is from RNAcentral.